RNAcentral lists this ribosomal RNA (492 nucleotides) under uncultured bacterium. RNAcentral's name for it is "partial 16S ribosomal RNA". It matches the Rfam family "Bacterial small subunit ribosomal RNA", at positions 29 to 507 of the family's 1533-position model. The record is from RNAcentral.
AGUGAACGCUGGCGGUAGGCCUAACACAUGCCAGUCGAACGGCAGCACAGUAAGAGCUUGCUCUUACGGGUGGCGAGUGGCGGACGGGUGAGGAAUACAUCGGAAUCUACUUUUUCGUGGGGGAUAACGUAGGGAAACUUACGCUAAUACCGCAUACGACCUACGGGUGAAAGCAGGGGAUCUUCGGACCUUGCGCGAUUGAAUGAGCCGAUGUCGGAUUAGCUAGUUGGCGGGGUAAAGGCCCACCAAGGCGACGAUCCGUAGCUGGUCUGAGAGGAUGAUCAGCCACACUGGAACUGGGACACGGUCCAGACUCCUACGGGAGGCAGCAGUGGGGAAUAUUGGACAAUGGGCGCAAGCCUGAUCCAGCCAUACCGCGUGGGUGAAGAAGGCCUUCGGGUUGUAAAGACCUUUUGUUGGGAAAGAAAAGCAGCAGGUUAAUACCCCGCUGUUCUGACGGUACCCAAAGAAUAAGCACCGGCUAACUUCGUG